RNAcentral lists this ribosomal RNA (253 nucleotides) under uncultured bacterium. Its description in RNAcentral is "partial 16S ribosomal RNA". It matches the Rfam family "Bacterial small subunit ribosomal RNA", at positions 524 to 776 of the family's 1533-position model. The record is from RNAcentral.
UACGGGGGGGGCAAGCGUUGUUCGGAAUUACUGGGCGUAAAGGGCUCGUAGGUGGCCAACUAAGUCAGACGUGAAAUCCCUCGGCUUAACCGGGGAACUGCGUCUGAUACUGGAUGGCUAGAGAUUGGGAGAGGGAUGCGGAAUUCCCGGUGUAGUGGUGAAAUGCGUAGAUAUCGGGAGGAACACCAGUGGCGAAGGCGACUUCCUGGCCUGUUCUUGACGCUGAGGCGCGAAAGCUAGGGUAGCAAACGGG